GAGUUUGAUCAUGGCUCAGAGUGAACGCUGGCGGUAGGCCUAACACAUGCAAGUCGAACGGCAGCACAGAGGAGCUCGCUCCUUGGGUGGCGAGUGGCGGACGGGUGAGGAAUACAUCGGAAUCUACUCUGUCGUGGGGGAUAACGUAGGGAAACUUACGCUAAUACCGCAUACGACCUACGGGUGAAAGCAGGGGAUCUUCGGACCUUGCGCGAUUGAAUGAGCCGAUGUCGGAUUAGCUAGUUGGCGGGGUAAAGGCCCACCAAGGCGACGAUCCGUAGCUGGUCUGAGAGGAUGAUCAGCCACACUGGAACUGAGACACGGUCCAGACUCCUACGGGAGGCAGCAGUGGGGAAUAUUGGACAAUGGGCGCAAGCCUGAUCCAGCCAUACCGCGUGGGUGAAGAAGGCCUCGGUU
RNAcentral lists this ribosomal RNA (417 nucleotides) under uncultured microorganism. Its description in RNAcentral is "bacterial SSU rRNA". It matches the Rfam family "Bacterial small subunit ribosomal RNA", at positions 9 to 424 of the family's 1533-position model. The record is from RNAcentral.